GCCGGGCAUGGUGGCGCAUGCCUGUAAUCUCAGCUACUCGGAGGCUGAGGCAGGAGAAUUGCUUGAACCUAGGAGGUGGAGGUUGCAGUAAGCCAAAAUAGCAUCACUGUACUCCAGCCUGAAAGCCUGGGUAACAGAGUGAGACUCUGUCUCAA
This 155-nucleotide small RNA is filed under the name Pongo abelii (Sumatran orangutan). Its description in RNAcentral is "Metazoan signal recognition particle RNA (ENSPPYG00000032239.1)". The record is from Rfam by way of RNAcentral. Lineage: Eukaryota; Metazoa; Chordata; Mammalia; Primates; Hominidae.